This is an RNA transcript of Calidris pugnax (ruff), 5875 nucleotides long. It is a transcript of the gene named chromosome unknown open reading frame, human C16orf87, with no coding region annotated. NCBI's taxonomy places the organism in Eukaryota, Metazoa, Chordata, Aves, Charadriiformes, Scolopacidae. The transcript is spliced from 8 exons. The record is from RefSeq and is a predicted model, not a curated record.
CUCCUUUGUCGGAGGGGCCGCGCCGGCGGCGGGCGGAGCCCGCGGAGGCUGUCGCCGGCUCCCCGGCCCCCUCUCUACCCCGUUCCUCCCGCCCUCCCCGGGGCGGGGCGGUCGGCGCUCCGGCGGCGGUAACAGCAGCAGCGAGCAUGUCCUCGAGCAGGGCCAAGAAAGUGAAGAUGGCCACCAAGUCUUGCCCGGAGUGUGACCAGCAGGUUCCUGUUGCAUGUAAAUCCUGUCCCUGUGGCUAUAUAUUUAUUAGUCGAAAACUCUUGCAUGCUAAACGUGCUGAGAGAUCACCACCCAUCACAGAAAACAAGAGUGAGGCCAAAAGAAGACGGACAGAGAGAGUUAAACGAGAGAAGAUAAAUUCUGCAGUGAAUAAAGACUUAGAAAACCGAAAAAGAUCCAGGUCUAACAGCCAUUCAGAUCAUAGCAGACGAGGAAGAGGAAGACCUAAGAGUGCCUCAGCCAAAAAGCACGAGGAAGAAAGAGAGAAACAAGAAAAAGAAGUUGACAUGUAUGCUAACCUUUCAGAUGAAAAGGCCUUCGUAUUUUCAGUGGCCUUGGCGGAAAUAAACAGAAAAAUUAUCAAUCAAAGACUUAUUCUGUAACUUGUAAGCACAAUCUGAUGCGUUUAUAUGCAGAAUGGCUAGCGUAUUUCCAAGGUGUCGUGGACUCUCGGAAAGUGUUGUCUGCACCAUCAAGGACCAUGCUAUUUCCUAUAUUCUGCUGUUGUUCUUGGAAGUCGAAUUCUGUCUCUGCAAGUCAGAAAGAAAGCGUUUGCAAGAUUGUGGUGUGAUAUUCCCAUAGGAAGGAAAUUAAAUGGUUUCAUUUGGGGGAUUAUUCUGCUUGAUGACUUUGUAUUGUUUAUGAAUUCUCUCCAGAAAAUGAUUCCCUGUUGUUUUUCAAAUAUCACAUAUACUUUCUGUGGUCAGACUCGUGAAGUCUGAAAGGAAAGUGCCUGUUUUGUAACCACUGUUUGCUGGGUAUCUGCCUUGUCCAGAUGGUAAGUAGACGUGCAGGUUGUAUCUUCUUACUGGUAUUUCUAAAUGAUGAGGUUAUGCUACUUCCUUUUACUCUCAUCAGCUUUUUUUGUCUGUCUUUUAAAAGUGUAAUUCUCAGCAGUAUUGUCUUUGGACUGUUGACUUUAAAUGCCAAAGCAAAAGUCUGGUUGAGUGUGCAAAACUGAACGGUUUUGGUAGAAGUAGGUUUGGGGAAAGCAUUCAACAGCGUUGUCUUUGUUAAAGUGGUAUAGUGCAGUUUGAGCCAAAACUCUUGCAUUAGUAAGCACGUGGGGGGUUUGUUUUACCGGGGGGAAAAAAAAAAGCUCAAGCCCUGUAAAAUCCUGAGGGAGGACGUUUAGGAGGCAAUUGCAUUCAUAAAAUCUGACACACUAGCUUUUUGCUGCCUUUCAUUCACUCUUUUCUAAGAAGGGGAAUGCAAUUAAAUGUCUUUUUAAACACUUAAAACACUAAAUGUGGGUUUUUUUCAGUAUUACUCAUGCUUUUCAGUAUCACGUUACUUUAAUAGUGAGAAUUACCCAGUGAGGUUCUGCUACAGAGCUGAUUUCUGGGUAGAAGCAGAUUUUUAUUAAUAAAGCUAGACGAUCAAAUACUGAUUGUUUAUUAGUUAUUGGUUAAAGGAAGGAGCUAUGAUGAUUUUAAGCCAUAAGGGACUGAUCAGACGCAAACUUUGUUAACAAAGGCAGGAAACAGGGAAAGUGAUUUUUAAUUUUUAACUCCCAAGAAGUAACUGGGUCCCUUUCAACACUGGACAAGAUGAAUGGGUGUGGAAAUGCACUUAAACCACUAAUCUACAUUUGUCUUUAUUCCAGUAAAUGAGGAAUUGCGAACACAAGAUCUACUUCCCUACAUCAUGUAGACUUCUGCUUUCCAGAACUGUAGCCUGUCACAGAUACCAGUAGUAAGGACAGAUGAGUAACUCUUGAGAUUAGAGUAUAUGUUUGCAUGGUAAGUUAUUAAAGUCAGAAUGACAAAAGGGAAGUUCUGAUUUUGAAAACUUAAGGUUACGAUCAGGCGUGUGUUGCUUCUGUUGCUAGAAUGAAAUCUACUGUGUUAAGGGACAAAGGGAGCUACUAAUGCAGGCUCUGGUGUUGUGAUCUGUGUUCCCACAGAUAUCUAUUUAUUUCUGCUCCUGUACCUGUAAUUAAAGUUAUCUUUAGGGGACUGAAGUUUAAUGUUAGAUGUAUGUUAGAUGUGACAAAAUUUAACUUACGUGUUUUACAUUUAGAUGAUAAGUACUGCAAAAUGCAUUCAUACCUUUCAAAAGUUGAAGGCUGUUUUUUCUCCUCUGUCGGUGGAGGCUCUCUCGAAACGGUGGUUUGAGUUAAAUUUAUGUACUUCUUCCCUUUUGUCUUACCCACGUCUCUGCUGUCAGCUCUUUCCCACUUGUGGUCAUGCUAUCUUUCUUCCCCUGCUAUCUUCUAGUUUCUUCAAGAAAGCUGCGGUGGAAGCAGGCAGCCUUGAAAGUACCCCAGGGAGAGAGUGCUGCUUUGCCAGGGGAUCUUGCAAAGCAAGAGUCCUGACUUUCUCCCCAGAAACAGCCAGAAACAAACCAUUCUUUCCUGUAUAGACAGGACACUUCAGUAUCUUCCCAAAGCCCUGGUAACUCUGGCUGUGGUAUCUGAGGACAUAGCUUUACUGGAACAUAUUCAGUGGCUGAACUGGAACGCCUCUGCAUUGUGUGAAAUAGGUGUCAACCCGGUGGCAUCUCAAGAGCUCACUCUUUGUGUGGUAGAGAUGAUCAAUGGAUGAAACACUGUGGCAAAUCAUUGUAGAUCAUAGUUGUAAAAUGUGUUGGAUCACUAACGAAACUAAAAUAAAGCCAGUGACAGCUAAAUCAUGAGAGAUAAUGUACGGCAGCUUGGUCUUUCUUUAGAACUGCAUAGUUUCCAAGAAACAAGAAUAAAUAUGUAACACUUCAGGAAGCUGCUUAUGCAACACUUUUUUUUUUGUCUAGUUCCAGUAUAAGGAUCUUAGGCCCUGCCUUUGAGUGUCUUUGUGAUUCAGUUCCACUUAAUUUGUUUCACUGCAUUUUGUAGCAUGAGAAAAAUAAUCUUCUUUGAGAAAAAGUGAAUUAGGCUGCCCUUUUUUUAAUUAACUCAAAAGAAGACCAAGUAUGUCACCACCACAAAAUUACCACUCCACCUCCAUAUGAUCUCUACAUGUUGACUUAUCUGACCAGAUGAGCUUGAUGUUGUGAACUGAAUAGUUUAGGAUUGUACUGUAGAACUGCAUAUUUAUAAGCCACCAUCUAGCAGGCUCUGUUUUCUGCCGCUGCUUUUCCCCCUUUCUUCUGAAGAAAUGUGCUUCCGGUGUCGUAUCUCUGUAACAGCGUAUCAGACCAUCAAGCAGGUUCACAGUUCAAACUCUGCCUUGAGAUUCCUCUGCAUUUACUCUGUUGUGCUACUAGAUGGCAGCCUUAUGCCAAAGACAGUUACUGUCUAUUCAGGCGUUCUUACUAUUGCUACUAGGAAAAGCAUGGUAUUCCCUUUUUGGUGAAAAUAAUAUUAUUUUUCUUUAGAACGUCACUUACUCAUACCUUACUUAGGAGGUUAAAAUCCUGCUAAUGGGUAUUACUAGCAAUUUGCACCCAAAGUAGAUGGCUUCGUUAGUUGUGUGGGAUGUUAGCUUUUGAGCUGUGAAAAUUGGCUGAGAUUAAUAAUUUGUUAAGAUGAAAGAACUCUGAACUUUCAGUUGGCAAUUUAAUAAAAAAUGGUUGAAGGAAAAGGUUCUUCACCUCCCAUGGAAGUCUUAUAUAUGUAAGUUUUCUUUGGUCAAAUUUUACAAACAUCUCUAAUUUUCCUGUUAUUUUCACUCUAAUACUGUUAUGAUUGAUUAAAGAAAGUUGAAAAUGGGGCAAGGUAUUGGGGAUUUAGUCGCAGAUUGACAUCACCCUGUGGUUGAGCAGCAAGAUUUACAAGAGGGAGACUCGAAUUGAGAUAUUUGCUUCAAAUAUCAGGUCCUAAACAAGGACUUUGGGUUGGUUUUACUUAGUGUUUUAAAAAUUUUUGAGAUUUCUUAGCUUUUUUUAGAGAGAAACAGUGAUUGAUGUAGGCUGUUAUCAGCACAGUGUCUUCCUGGUAUCUUGGGCUGUAUUGUUGUGGGUGCUUAGUAUCUUAUUGCCUAACAGGACAUGAUGCUUGACUUUUGUUCUUUAAAAAUACUGAUAACCUUUAUGGUAUUGAUAACCUGUGAUUAAACAAUGUAACCUGAAAGCAGUCUUAAACCACUGUUUAGUUUAAAGCCUUUCUGAGUUGCUGUUAUCCCAAACGUGGGCCCCCUGCGUGCAUGAGCGUGUGCAGGUAUUGCUGGUGUCCUGGUUUGUAUCUCUAGGUGCAUCUAUGGUUUUGUUUGAAUUAGGAGUGUGUGUUUGAAGCAAAUCUUGUGAUAGUCUCUACUUCCAGUGCUUGUUUGCGUCACAGAAUGGUCUUGGGGAGCAGAAAGUAGAUUCCUUUUACAAUAAAAUGACCUUGAAGAUGUCCUUCAGCUGUUAGUGCUUAGUCUGCAGGACCAGGUCUGCCCAUAGCAGGUGUGGGGCUCUCAGUACCAACUGUUUCACUCUACAGAUUUCCACUUCUCUUGCUUCUUGCUUAUUAUGAAAAUAUAGCAGAGCAAAUGUUAACGAGUCUAACCAACACUUUCAGGUGAGUUGUCACUCUUCAAAGUAUUAGCAAUGUCAUCAGUGUAUUGUAAGCUUUAGGCUUCCUACUUUAUUUCACUGUAGGUUCGGAUGAAUAUCCUGUAGCAUAUUUAACUGUAGCAUUUCAAGAUGUUGCUUUCCCCAGUUGUUUGCCUACCCUUUUUGGAGGCUGUCACUAAGGUAGCAGUGAUGGUAGGACAGCUGUAGUAAGUUAUAGAAUAAUUUUUUUUCCUUUCUUUUAGGCUGUCGCUUUCAAAAUUCACUAGUGACUGCAGAAACUCUGGCUGCCCUAAAGUUAUAUCUGAUUAAACAGUUCGUCUACUUAAAGUAGUUGAUACGAAGGUGAUCAAUUUUGGUGCCUUGUGGUUGAUCAGACACUACAGAAAUACACAAUGUAUUAUUUCAGUAGAUACUGUGAAUUCAUAAUGAACUAAAAGUGUCUGUAAAUUAAUGUACUAGAGUGGGAUUUUUUUUCUGCUCUUCAGUAAGAGCUGUUUGUAUCUGCUAGCUAUUGAAUAGGGGCUCCAAUCUAAGUUAAAAGCAAGAAAUUGAUUAGGCAGAGGACAGUGGAAAUAGAUAAAUCUGUGUAUUUCUUUUUUUCUCCAGAAGAAAACUUAAACCUGCUUUCGCCGAAGUUGUUUAAUUUCAAGUUCAAAACAUGAUUCUCAUGAAUCAUUUGGUGUCGUCAUGCGGCGCAUCCCCCAGGAAGAGAUGGGGAUCUGAGUUGCUUUCUUUGGAGAAGUUGUGGAGCGGAAUGUAUGUGUGUGAACAUGCCCAUGCAAGCACCUGCAAUGAGGAGAUGGGUGCUGGAGGCUGCUGUGCAGGUGGUCUGGGCUCCAGGGUCCUGAUCCUCAAAAACCAGCAAAGCAGCAUUUCAUCUAAGGUCACUGAACUGGCUAGAGCAACAGGUCUUGACAUCCAGUGAGAAGUUUUCAAGAAAGUACUUUUAAAACAAAUUGUUUAUUUAACUGAAUGUUUAAAAUGAUGGAAAGUCUUUCUGACGCUUACUUAGAGGAGUGUUUUGAAAAUAGUACCUCAAAGCAGUGAAUAAUGGGCUAAACAGAAAUUGAGGAAGAACCCUAAUUAAGAUGCAUUUCUGGGAAACAAGAAGAUUAAUUAUUUGAACAUGGGGAAUGUGAAAAUGAAUUACUGCCUGCUUCUGGGAAACAUGUUUGAUCUGCACUUCUCACUAUUGUAGGAGUUUUUUGAAGGC